Monomorium pharaonis (pharaoh ant) is the source of this 1257-nucleotide long non-coding RNA. RefSeq lists it as uncharacterized. The record is from RefSeq and is a predicted model, not a curated record. The transcript has 3 exons. NCBI's taxonomy places the organism in Eukaryota, Metazoa, Arthropoda, Insecta, Hymenoptera, Formicidae.
ACAAAGCGUCACGCCACACGCGCGCGCUCAUCGACCGAGAUUCCGAAUUCCAAGCACUGUCUUUCCUCCUUCGCGAUGUCGCGCUUUUUCGAAAUACACCACGUCACGAAGUCGAGACACAACUCGUCGACAAGCACGAAGCACGACAGUGGGUCGACGAUCCGGUGAAUAUUGCGGUAACGUCGCACGAUAUUCUCGUCUUACGUUUGAUACGUAGAUUCGAUAAAUCGAUUGUACGGUACGUUCCCGCGCAAUGUUGCCGUCCCAGGAAAACGCGCCAAAUUCACGGCGGCCAUACUUGAUUCGCGAGCUCGGAUCGGUGCGACGUAGCUGGCGGCGGUCGACACGGCUGCUUCGCGUUCUUCGUGUUUGUCUAUUAUCGGUGGAUUAUCCGCGACGCGUCGGGACGCCCGUGACGAGGAAUUCGUGAACGUCGAAUGACACGGAUCAUCCAAUCGCCGUGAUCGAUGCGACUAAUGUGUUCGUCACGGAUACACGUAUCUCACUAGCCGUAUCAUCCCACAGCUCUCAUUAGAAGGGAUGGGUAGCUCGCUAAUAACUGUGAUCAACUGCUUUUGGCCCGAUAUUCGGUUUCACCGAAUUUUUUUACGUCGAUUUAUAACACGGCGACAGCCGAGACAACAAAGACCUUGUAAUCAAAAUGAGAGGCGGAGGGGUGACGAAGGUAGGAGCAGCAAAGCAAGUCCGAAAUUGUUUCGCGAGAAGGUUGACGACGAUCUGGGAAAACCGAUUGUUUGCGAGCAUCAUAGGAUGACGUUUACCCAACACCAAGAUUCAUAGUUUUCUAACUGGUGCAGCUAAAGAGACAACAGACACAAUUCUGUCAUCGAAGGUAGGAUAUCAGCGCAGGAUGGUAAGUGAUGUUUUGUUUAUGUCAAUACAUUGAUGCAAUUGGUUUGGUAUUGUUACAUCAGAACAAGAUUUCCAAUUGUGAAAUCUGUACUCCAAAAAUUGAGAAAAGUUUAAAGAUUAUGAACUUAUAUAUAUUUAAUUUAAAACAAAAUUAAUUUACUGAAUGCAGUGAUUUAAAAAUAAAGGAUCCAGAAAUACCAUUACUUUUUCUUCAGUUUUUAUAUAUAUUUGUCUUAUCAAAUUGAUCUUAUUGAAUAUUUUAUAAAAUUAUUUUUUAUUUAAAUAUUUUUUUAUUUUAACUUUAAUUCUUGUUCAUAGUUUAUUGAUGUUGACAUUUAUUUUUUUUACUUUGUUUUUAAAAUUACAUAAACAUGGUAAAUAUUA